RNAcentral lists this transfer RNA (75 nucleotides) under Chloroflexota bacterium. Its description in RNAcentral is "Chloroflexi bacterium tRNA-Thr". It matches the Rfam family "tRNA". From Rfam's summary of the family: Transfer RNA (tRNA) molecules are approximately 80 nucleotides in length. Their secondary structure includes four short double-helical elements and three loops (D, anti-codon, and T loops). RNAcentral also lists the same sequence under 3 other names. The record is from RNAcentral. Lineage: Bacteria; Bacillati; Chloroflexota.
GCCGGUGUAGCUCAGUGGCAGAGCAGCGGUUUCGUAAACCGCAGGUCAAGGGUUCGACUCCCUUCACCGGCUCCA